GGCUCAGGACGAACGCUGGCGGCGUGCUUAACACAUGCAAGUCGAACGAGCUCCAACCAGUGGCAACACUGGGGAAGAGCGAGUGGCGAACGGGUGAGUAACACGUGAGCAACCUGCCUCGAAGACUGGGAUAACAGCGGGAAACCGCUGCUAAUACCGGAUACCCCCAUCGGGUCGCAUGGCCUGAUGAGGAAAUGAAUUUCGCUUCGAGAGGGGCUCGCGGGCUAUCAGCUUGUUGGUGGGGUAACGGCCUACCAAGGCGACGACGGCUAGCUGGUCUGAGAGGACGACCAGACACACUGGGACUGAGACACGGCCCAGACUCCUACGGGAGGCAGCAGUGGGAAUCUUGCGCAAUGGGCGAAAGCCUGACGCAGCAACGCCGCGUGCGGGAUGAAUGCCUUCGGGUUGUAAACCGCUUUCAGCAGGGACGAAAUUGACGGUACCUGCAGAAGAAGCCCCGGCCAACUACGUGCCAGCAGCCGCGGUAAUACGUAGGGGGCGAGCGUUGUCCGGAUUCAUUGGGCGUAAAGCGCUUUAAGGCGGUUCGGUAAGUCGCGUGUGAAACCUCCAGGCUCAACCUGGAGACGCCACGCGAUACUGCCGUGACUAGAGUCCGGUAGGGGACCACGGAAUUCCUGGUGUAGCGGUGAAAUGCGCAGAUAUCAGGAGGAACACCAGUGGCGAAGGCGGUGGUCUGGGCCGGUACUGACGCUGUAGAGCGAAAGCGUGGGGAGCGAACAGGAUUAGAUACCCUGGUAGUCCACGCCGUAAACGUUGGGCACUAGGUGUGGGGGGUUAUCAACGCCUUCCGUGCCGUAGCUAACGCAUUAAGUGCCCCGCCUGGGGAGUACGGCCGGCAGGCUAAAACUC
This 873-nucleotide ribosomal RNA is filed under the name uncultured bacterium. RNAcentral's name for it is "bacterial SSU rRNA". It matches the Rfam family "Bacterial small subunit ribosomal RNA", at positions 21 to 902 of the family's 1533-position model. The record is from RNAcentral.